This 368-nucleotide ribosomal RNA is filed under the name uncultured organism. Its description in RNAcentral is "bacterial SSU rRNA". It matches the Rfam family "Bacterial small subunit ribosomal RNA", at positions 526 to 896 of the family's 1533-position model. The record is from RNAcentral.
CGGAGGGUGCAAGCGUUAUCCGGAUUCACUGGGUUUAAAGGGUGCGUAGGCGGGUAUAUAAGUCAGUGGUGAAAGCUCCGAGCUUAACUUGGAAACUGCCAUUGAUACUGUAUAUCUUGAAUAUCGUAGAGGUUAGCGGAAUGUUGCAUGUAGCGGUGAAAUGCUUAGAUAUGUUACAGAACACCAAUUGCGAAGGCAGCUAACUAUGCGACAAUUGACGCUGAGGCACGAAAGCGUGGGGAGCAAACAGGAUCAGAUACCCUGGUAGUCCACGCCCUAAACGAUGAUUACUCGAUGUUGGCGAUACACUGUCAGCGUCUUAGCGAAAGCGUUAAGUAAUCCACCUGGGGAGUACGCUCGCAAGAGUG